RNAcentral lists this ribosomal RNA (383 nucleotides) under uncultured bacterium. RNAcentral describes it as "bacterial SSU rRNA". It matches the Rfam family "Bacterial small subunit ribosomal RNA", at positions 1010 to 1396 of the family's 1533-position model. The record is from RNAcentral.
UUCCUCCCAGCAAUGGGCCGGGACACAGGUGCUGCAUGGCUGUCGUCAGCUCGUGUCUUGAGAUGUUGGGUUAAGUCCCGCAACGAGCGCAACCCUCGCCAUUAGUUGCCAUCAUUAAGUUGGGCACUCUAGUGGGACUGCCGGUGAUAAGCCGGAGAAAGGUGGGGAUGACGUCAAGUCAUCAUGGCCCUUAUGGGCUGGGCUACACACGUGCUACAAUGGCGGUGACAAUGGGCAGCCACUCAGCGAUGAGGAGCUAAUCCCUAAAAGCCGUCUCAGUUCGGAUUGAGCUCUGCAACUCGAGCUCAUGAAGUCGGAAUCGGUAGUAAUCGCGGAUCAGCAUGCCGCGGUGAUACGUUCCCGGGCCUUGCACACACCGCCCG